AUACGGAGGGUCCGAGCGUUAUCCGGAAUCAUUGGGUUUAAAGGGUCCGUAGGCGGGAAUCUAAGUCAGUGGUGAAAUCUUGCAGCUCAACUGUAAAAUUGCCAUUGAUACUGGAUUUCUUGAAUUAGUGUGAAGUGGUUAGAAUGUGUAGUGUAGCGGUGAAAUGCAUAGAUAUUACACAGAAUACCAAUUGCGAAGGCAGAUCACUAACACUAUAUUGACGCUAAGGGACGAAAGCGUGGGGAGCAAACAGGAUUAGAAACCCCGGUAGUCC
Molecule: ribosomal RNA, 274 nt
Filed under: uncultured bacterium
Lineage: Bacteria
Description: partial 16S ribosomal RNA
Rfam family: Bacterial small subunit ribosomal RNA
Source: RNAcentral